RNAcentral lists this ribosomal RNA (454 nucleotides) under uncultured Desulfobulbus sp. Its description in RNAcentral is "bacterial SSU rRNA". It matches the Rfam family "Bacterial small subunit ribosomal RNA", at positions 933 to 1382 of the family's 1533-position model. The record is from RNAcentral. Lineage: Bacteria; Pseudomonadati; Thermodesulfobacteriota; Desulfobulbia; Desulfobulbales; Desulfobulbaceae.
UGGAGCAUGUGGUUAAUUUCGAUGCAACGCGAAGAACCUUACCUGGUCUUGACAUCCCGGAGACCCUUAGGAAACUAGGGGUGCUUCCAUCUGGAGAAUCUGGAGACAGGUGCUGCAUGGCUGUCGUCAGCUCGUGUCGUGAGAUGUUGGGUUAAGUCCCGCAACGAGCGCAACCCUUGCCUUUAGUUGCCAGCAGUUCGGCUGGGCACUCUAAAGGGACUGCCGGUGUUAAACCGGAGGAAGGUGGGGAUGACGUCAAGUCCUCAUGGCCUUUAUGACCAGGGCUACACACGUACUACAAUGGCCGAUACAAAGGGCAGCGACACUGCGAGGUGAAGCCAAUCCCGUAAAAUCGGUCUCAGUCCGGAUUGGAGUCUGCAACUCGACUCCAUGAAGUUGGAAUCGCUAGUAAUCGUGGAAUCAGCAUGCCACGGUGAAUACGUUCCCGGGCCUU